CCUGACAGCUCAGUUGGUAAGGAAUCUGCCUGCAAUGCAGGAGACCCAGGUUCGAUUCCUGGGUCAGGA
This 69-nucleotide transfer RNA is filed under the name Ovis aries (sheep). It matches the Rfam family "tRNA". Rfam says of the family: Transfer RNA (tRNA) molecules are approximately 80 nucleotides in length. Their secondary structure includes four short double-helical elements and three loops (D, anti-codon, and T loops). Further hydrogen bonds mediate the characteristic L-shaped molecular structure. tRNAs have two regions of fundamental functional importance: the anti-codon, which is responsible for specific mRNA codon recognition, and the 3' end, to which the tRNAs corresponding amino acid is attached (by aminoacyl-tRNA synthetases). tRNAs cope with the degeneracy of the genetic code in two manners: having more than one tRNA (with a specific anti-codon) for a particular amino acid; and 'wobble' base-pairing, i.e. permitting non-standard base-pairing at the 3rd anti-codon position. Lineage: Eukaryota; Metazoa; Chordata; Mammalia; Artiodactyla; Bovidae. The record is from Rfam by way of RNAcentral.